Molecule: transfer RNA, 69 nt
Filed under: Sardinella albella (white sardinella)
Lineage: Eukaryota; Metazoa; Chordata; Actinopteri; Clupeiformes; Clupeidae
Also listed under: 1 other name
Description: tRNA-Asp
Rfam family: tRNA
About the family: Transfer RNA (tRNA) molecules are approximately 80 nucleotides in length.
Source: RNAcentral
AAGACACUAGUAAAACCAUUAUCCUGCCUUGUCAAGGCAAAGUUGUGGGUUAGACCCCCGCGUGUCUUG